AUUGAACGCUGGCGGAAUGCUUUACACAUGUAAGUCGAGCGGCAGCGCGGGGGCAACCCUGGCGGCGAGCGGCGAACGGGUGAGUAAUACAUCGGAACGUGUCCUUAAGUGGGGGAUAGCUCGGCGAAAGCCGGAUUAAUACCGCAUAAGCUCUGAGGAGGAAAGCGGGGGCUCCGUAAGGACCUCGCGCUGUUGGAGCGGCCGAUGUCGGAUUAGCUAGUUGGUGGGGUAAAGGCCCACCAAGGCGACGAUCCGUAGCUGGUCUGAGAGGAUGAUCAGCCACACUGGAACUGAGACACGGUCCAGACUCCUACGGGAGGCAGCAGUGGGGAAUUUUGGACAAUGGGGGCAACCCUGAUCCAGCCAUUCCGCGUGAGUGAAGAAGGCCUCGGUU
Molecule: ribosomal RNA, 394 nt
Filed under: uncultured bacterium
Lineage: Bacteria
Description: bacterial SSU rRNA
Rfam family: Bacterial small subunit ribosomal RNA
Source: RNAcentral